CCUUCGGGGUUAGUGGCGGACGGGUGAGUAACACGUGGGAACGUACCCUUUGGUUCGGAAUAGCUCAGGGAAACUUGAAUUAAUACCGAAUGUGCCCUUCGGGGGAAAGAUUUAUCGCCAUUGGAGCGGCCCGCGUCUGAUUAGCUAGUUGGUGGGGUAAAGGCCCACCAAGGCUUCGAUCAGUAGCUGGUCUGAGAGGAUGAUCAGCCACACUGGGACUGAGACACGGCCCAGACUCCUACGGGAGGCAGCAGUAGGGAAUCUUGCGCAAUGGGCGAAAGCCUGACGCAGCCAUGCCGCGUGAAUGAUGAAGGUCUUAGGA
RNAcentral lists this ribosomal RNA (322 nucleotides) under uncultured bacterium. RNAcentral's name for it is "bacterial SSU rRNA". It matches the Rfam family "Bacterial small subunit ribosomal RNA", at positions 83 to 422 of the family's 1533-position model. The record is from RNAcentral.